This 598-nucleotide ribosomal RNA is filed under the name Tricholoma aurantium. Its description in RNAcentral is "partial small subunit ribosomal RNA". It matches the Rfam family "Bacterial small subunit ribosomal RNA", at positions 438 to 947 of the family's 1533-position model. Lineage: Eukaryota; Fungi; Basidiomycota; Agaricomycetes; Agaricales; Tricholomataceae. The record is from RNAcentral.
UUUGGUGAUUAUGAUAACAUAAGGGAAAAAAAUGAUGUUACCUUAUUAUUAGUGUUGUCCAAAACUGGUGCCAGAAGACUCGGUAAGACCAGAGACGCAAACGUUAGUCAUCUUAAUCAGGCGUAAAGGGUUUGUAGGCUGCUUUAAAAGUUUAUUUUUUUUUAAUAGCUCUGUAAGCGUUAUACUCUCUAAUUAUUUUUGUUUUUAGGGUAGUAUUUAAAUUUUUUAAGGAGAAAUUUGAUAGUUAAAGCAAUCCGUGUUUCAGAAAAAAAAUAAAUGAAUUAAAGCUAGAAUCAAAUUGAGGAUAAACCAAAUAAUGCUUAGAGUAGGGGUUAAAUCCACAGAUACUAAGUGGAAUACUAAAGGUGAAGACUUUUUAUCUACUAUUGAUUGACGCUGAGAAACGAAGGUGAGAAGAGGAAAUAGGAUUUGAUACCCAGGUACCUCUCACUGUCAACGAUGAAUGGUGGUUGUUAGUUUUUGUAAAAACUGGUAACGAUGUUAACACGAUAACCAUUCCGCCUUGCGAGUACGGUUGCAAAACUGAAACCAAAAAAAUUAGUCGGUCUCGAAGCAAACGAAGUGAAGCAUGUUAUUU